GACGAACGCUGGCGGCGUGCCUAAUACAUGCAGGUCGAGCGGACUUUCAAGAAGCUUGCUUUUUGAAAGUUAGCGGCGGACGGGUGAGUAACACGUGGGCAACCUGCCUGCAAGACGGGGAUAACUCCGGGAAACCGGGGCUAAUACCGGAUAAUAUCUUCCUUCGCAUGAAGGAAGGUUGAAAGGCGGCGCAAGCUGCCGCUUGCAGAUGGGCCCGCGGCGCAUUAGCUAGUUGGUGAGGUAACGGCUCACCAAGGCGACGAUGCGUAGCCGACCUGAGAGGGUGAUCGGCCACACUGGGACUGAGACACGGCCCAGACUCCUACGGGAGGCAGCAGUAGGGAAGCUUCCGCAAUGGACGAAAGUCUGACGGAGCAACGCCGCGUGAGCGAAGAAGGUCUUCGGAUCGUAAAGCUCUGUUGUCAGGGAAGAACAAGUACCGUUCGAACAGGGCGGUACCUUGACGGUACCUGACCAGAAAGCCACGGCUAACUACGUG
This 499-nucleotide ribosomal RNA is filed under the name uncultured bacterium. Its description in RNAcentral is "partial 16S ribosomal RNA". It matches the Rfam family "Bacterial small subunit ribosomal RNA", at positions 28 to 507 of the family's 1533-position model. The record is from RNAcentral.